RNAcentral lists this long non-coding RNA (832 nucleotides) under Chinchilla lanigera (long-tailed chinchilla). RNAcentral describes it as "lncRNA (ENSCLAG00000029203.1)". Lineage: Eukaryota; Metazoa; Chordata; Mammalia; Rodentia; Chinchillidae. The record is from RNAcentral.
GCUGCAGAGGUGCCCGGAGUCACACGGCACAAACCAAUUGCUUUGUAGGGAAGGGACCGUGGUCCGUGUCCGUGCAGUGCAUGCUCACUGACUGCUCACUGCUCGCCUGGCGUGCUGCAGAUCCCCAAGGCAUAAGGACACCUACCUUCUCCCCGGGAUAUGGCAGCUGACAUCCAGGGAAUGACAACUGUGUCCAGCACCAUCUGGGAGGAGGUGCGCUGUGAACUCAUUCAGACUUCACAGCUGCCCUCACAGACAGAUCUGUUACCUCACCCAGCAGAGGAGGACAUGCAGGUGCCCAGGAGGAGUCUUCUUUUACAAGGAAAAAUAUAUGUGUGUAUUUCUCCCAACCCAGGAAGGGCAAAGAAAUGAGACCCUUGGGAGCUGAAUUCUUCACUGCACAGCUAUUUAAUCAAUCGAUCUGGAACAGACAUCCCAUGUUGUCGCAUGCUAAUUGGGAGACAGUUUGAAGCACAGUCUCCUGGAUGGCAGUGGAUCGAGCCAGGAGGGAGCCUGAGAGCUCUGACUGCACAGGCCCUGCACAAAGAGCUCAUGCUAGGCUGAACUAGGACAAACCCAGAGCUUCAGGGAUGACCCAGCCUCAGCAGACUUCCAGAAGAGACAGCCACACCUCAUCCCGUCCUCCCUCCCUGCAGUGUGGAACAGAGCAACCCACUGGACGUGAUCUCUCUCCACUCCAAUAUCCCUUCAGAACGUGUCCUGUAGAGAAAUGGACAGAGUCACCUUGAACACUGACCUCUUUACCACUCUAACUCAUCUUGGCCACAGAGGCCUCCUUCUAAAUAAAACAUUCAGCCACUUUAUAGGGGAC